UAAAUUUUAGUUCAGUUGGUUAGAGCAUGGUGCUAAUAACACCAGGCUCAUGGUUUUGAUCUCCAUUCAGUUAA
Lamprotornis superbus is the source of this 74-nucleotide non-coding RNA. The record is from the annotation of a GenBank genome assembly. NCBI's taxonomy places the organism in Eukaryota, Metazoa, Chordata, Aves, Passeriformes, Sturnidae.